Long non-coding RNA from Brassica napus (rape), 788 nucleotides. RefSeq lists it as uncharacterized. The transcript is spliced from 2 exons. The record is from RefSeq and is a predicted model, not a curated record. NCBI's taxonomy places the organism in Eukaryota, Viridiplantae, Streptophyta, Magnoliopsida, Brassicales, Brassicaceae.
ACCUAAAUUUAAAAAAUAUACACACAAAUUACACUUUUAUAUUUUUAUUUUGUCAAUUCGGGUUCUAUUUAGAGCCAUACAAGCAUUUAUUCAUAAGUACUUACUAGGUUCUCGACUUUAUAUAUGAAUAUAUGUAUAUAAUUUAAUGAACGUGAUAGCUUUAACUAAAUGUUUUUAAGAAAAUUAGUGGACGCCAUGUGCUUCCCUCUACAACAUGGUACACUGCACAACUACAAAUUUACUUAGCACGGCGUGUUCAUUUGCGUUGUUUUCUACAAGUGCUCUCAAAGGUAAAAUUUGAGGUCGAUGGCAAAUACUGCUUCCAAGAUGUGCAACCCAUGAACAAUUAUGCAAACAAGUAAAAUACCAUGUAAGAAUAAUAUAUGGAAUAGAGAGGGGACCUUCAGAGUCAUGGAGAGUGGCUUUGUGUUGCUUACGACGGCGACGACGGUCAGUGUUAUCCAUUAAUAUUGGAGACAGUAAGAAAAAGCCGAGCUAAUGAAAUUGAGAUUUGAGGUUUAGUUGGAGAAUGCAAGAAAAGAUAUAUGUGAGAGAUGAGAGUUUAUAAAGAGAAUAUAAGAGAGGAGGAGAGAGGGGGAGAGGAGGAAGUAUCCAACGAACAGCCUUUGCAAACUAAUAGUAAGAAGUGUUGUGUGGUCUUGUUGACUCUUAGCCUUUGUGUAGACUUGUCGUUGCCACUCGUAUACACAUUGAGAUGAAUUCUCUUAAUUCAAAACUUUAAACCUUCUUUCUUUUUUUAUAUUCAAAACUUAUAAGUUUUAACCUUC